RNAcentral lists this ribosomal RNA (469 nucleotides) under uncultured bacterium. RNAcentral describes it as "SSU rRNA". It matches the Rfam family "Bacterial small subunit ribosomal RNA", at positions 26 to 518 of the family's 1533-position model. The record is from RNAcentral.
AGGACGAACGCUGGCGGCGUGCUUAAUACAUGCAAGUCGAGCGGAAAGGCCCUUCGGGGUACUCGAGCGGCGAACGGGUGAGUAACACGUGAGCAACCUGCCCUUAGCUUCGGGAUAGCUCCGGGAAACCGGAAUUAAUACCGGAUAUGACUAUGGCCGACAUCAGCCAUGGUGGAAAGUUUUUCGGCUAGGGAUGGACUCGCGGCCUAUCAGCUAGUUGGUGAGGUAACGGCUCACCAAGGCGACGACGGGUAGCCGGCCUGAGAGGGCGACCGGCCACACUGGGACUGAGACACGGCCCAGACUCCUACGGGAGGCAGCAGUGGGGAAUAUUGCGCAAUGGGCGAAAGCCUGACGCAGCGACGCCGCGUGGGGGAUGAAUGCCUUCGGUUGUAAACCCUUUCAGCAGGACGAAGCGAAAGUGACGGUACCUGCAGAGAAGCGCCGGCUACUACGUGCCAGCAGCCGC